CCUUCAUAAACAAGUUAAGGUUUGGCCAUUCUUGCUACAUUAUGCUGAAACUAUCACUGUUAAUAUUCUAGUAAUUGGUUUCAUAUAUCGCAAACAUACAAACUUGGACCUAGAAAGACAUAACAGAUUCUAAAUCAUGUUUGACAAGACCUUUUUUUUCUCUUCCUUUUUUGACAGCUGCUCAGUGCUGCAUGCCUUGAAACUUCAGCAGCAGCCAAGAAGCAGGUGAUAGCAGAAAAUCCACCUAUCUGGAAAUGAAAGGAUGGAUGAAUAUGGAGCUCUGUGGUCUGCUUCAUUUCCUUGACAGGAGCUUCAAAGCUUGAUUUCUGAUCAAUGGAAAGAAAUGGGGCAGGGUAGAGAUAUGUCUACUGAUUUCAGGAACUAUUAAAAUGCUGAGAUCAACACCAGAUCCACCUAAAGAAUCUGAAAGGAGAAUUGUGUGAUUGCUUUAUUGAAAACAACACAUGUCACGUAGUAGAGAUGUAAAAAUCUCUUUACCUUAUCCUGAAUGUUCUUAAGUAAUUUAUGCUUUGCUAUAUUUUUUGACACAGAUAGUUGUUUAUA
This is a long non-coding RNA of Vigna angularis (adzuki bean), 564 nucleotides long. RefSeq lists it as uncharacterized. Lineage: Eukaryota; Viridiplantae; Streptophyta; Magnoliopsida; Fabales; Fabaceae. The record is from RefSeq and is a predicted model, not a curated record. The transcript is spliced from 3 exons.